AGACAUAUAAGGAUUCAGAGAGUUGACACAUUACCUGAGCUGCAGCAGUGCAACAAGUGUUACAGCAAUUACCAGCAAUUUUCUGCUUGACCAGCAUGUUUAAGCCAGCCAAACUGGUCAAAUUAAUAAGUCAUCUUCAAAUCCACUUCAACAUGCAGUUGUCUGUGGAGUACAUCUUGUCUUGGGAGCACCCUUUGAUUUUACAUCUUGUGACAUUCCAAUCAUACGGAGAUGGUGGACUCCAGAUGGUUUUCUCUGAAAGUGCAGAAACCCUACAAGAGGCCCUUCCAAUUGGAUAACAGGCUACGCUUGUGAGGAGAUCCCAGUAAUCUCACAGAAGUUGUGAAAUGGCUCCAUUAAACAGACAUCUGCUCAGGGGGCCAGGGGAAGAGCCUCUUUUCCUUAUAAUGGAGGAAGAGGACAAGGAAAAGACCCUCAACAAUCUCCUGGAACAGAAGUUUCCAGAGUGCCCUUCAUAUUUCAUCUUGUGUUCA
Molecule: long non-coding RNA, 494 nt
Filed under: Sinocyclocheilus anshuiensis
Lineage: Eukaryota; Metazoa; Chordata; Actinopteri; Cypriniformes; Cyprinidae
Description: lncRNA (ENSSANG00000009303.1)
Source: RNAcentral